GGGGAAUUUUGGACAAUGGGGGCAACCCUGAUCCAGCCAUGCCGCGUGAGUGAAGAAGGCCUUCGGGUUGUAAAGCUCUUUCGCGAGGGAAGAAAUUGCACUGGACAAUACCUGGUGUAGAUGACGGUACCUUGAUAAGAAGCACCGGCUAACUACGUGCCAGCAGCCGCGGUAAUACGUAGGGUGCGAGCGUUAAUCGGAAUUACUGGGCGUAAAGCGUGCGCAGGCGGUUUCGUAAGACAGGUGUGAAAUCCCCGGGCUUAACCUGGGAACUGCGCGUGUGACUGCGAGGCUAGAGUACGGCAGAGGGAGGUAGAAUUCCACGUGUAGCAGUGAAAUGCGUAGAGAUGUGGAGGAAUACCGAUGGCGAAGGCAGCCUCCUGGGCCAGUACUGACGCUCAUGCACGAAAGCGUGGGGAGCAAAC
Molecule: ribosomal RNA, 425 nt
Filed under: uncultured bacterium
Lineage: Bacteria
Description: bacterial SSU rRNA
Rfam family: Bacterial small subunit ribosomal RNA
Source: RNAcentral